This 23061-nucleotide long non-coding RNA is filed under the name Musa acuminata (dwarf banana). RNAcentral's name for it is "long non-coding RNA (MACU_LNC002135)". Lineage: Eukaryota; Viridiplantae; Streptophyta; Magnoliopsida; Zingiberales; Musaceae. The record is from RNAcentral.
UGGGGAAAAUGAUCUCAAGUCUGCAUCUUUCUGGUGGCAGACGCGGCUUGGUGUGUCUGCAAGCCUGAUAUGAGUGACACUGCUCUCCAGAAGACGCUGGAUUAUGCUUGUGGAGCUGGAGCUGACUGCACUCCCAUCCUCCAAAACGGAGCUUGUUACAAUCCCAACACAGUGAAAGCCCAUUGCUCCUAUGCUGCUAACAGCUACUACCAGAGGAAAGGGCAGGCACAAGGGACCUGUGAUUUCUCGGGCACUGCUGCUCUUGCCACCACAGAUCCAAGUAAGUCCAUGAACGUUCUUAGUUCCCCAUCACCCGGUUGUCAUUUCCCACAAAAAUGCACCAUUAAUCUUCAUCUGAUUGCUUACAGGUUACAGUGGUUGCACUUUCCCUGCAACUGCCAGGUACAUCUCUGAGUACAUUACAAUCAAUGAGCAUGACCAUCAUCUAUUUUGAUUUCAUUUCUCUGCUUCUUCUUCUUCCUCUUCCUCCUCCUCCAGUGCUGCAGGCACAGGAUCAACACCAGCAACAACCACACCCGGCACAACACCCGGCACCUUCUCCCCAACCAGUGGAGUAGUAGGGGGAUUGGGGCCUUCAAGCAGCAUGUCCAACGAGGACAUGAGCCAUGGUGAGUUCCUCAUGAAAGCAGGGAUGGGUUCUCUCCUCCUCACUGUCAUUUGCUCACUGAUGGCUUUGUUGGGUUGAUGAAAAGCCUCCGGUUCUAGCGUAUGAUCCCAUUGUUGUAACAUGGACUGAUACAGAGGCAUUUCUCGUCCAGCCUAUGGUUUUUGUCUUUCCCCAUUGUAAUGGACUGUAGCUCUUCUUCUUGUCCUAUUUCUUUCUUCUCCAUUGUUACUGAUGAGCUGUUGUUGAUGUGUAUGUGUUAACAUCAUGCUUCUUCUUCUAUUCCGAUGGUACAAAGAAAAUGGAAGAUGCAUUCAAGUUUCUUGUGACCAUUCAGAAUGCAAAUUCUGCAAUAAUGAUUUGACAUAUAAGUAAUGUUUGGAUUGGCCUGUUUGACUCAACUCAUUUAUUCUCCAAAAGAUGUAUACACCUUGAAAUUUAUGUACAAGUCAAGUCAAAACCAACUCAAUUUAUGUCUUCAUUAGUUCCAUUUCCUUCAUCCUUCAUCUAUUUAAGUUUUGACAAUCCUUAUUUCUUCACGUCUCCCAUUUAAAUUAAUGUUUAAAUAAACAAAAAUAAUAAAUCGUGCUUAUAUUCAUUAAAUAUUUUUCUUGGAUAUUAUUAUUAGUAAAAAAUUAUCAAUUCAAAAGGUCCAAGCCAUUCCAAUCAUCGAUGACGGGAGAUGAACGGCCGAGAUCAAUUCGAUCUUCCAGAAUCUCAAACAAAAACGUUCUGAUGCGUGCUUAUGGUUUAUUUACCCGCGUGUAAACCCUCCUUGAAGAUAGUAAUAUGUCGGUCCCACAGGUUAAAUAACAGGGAGACGUCAAGGGUAGAUGUCGGUAGAAGUCUCGAACGCAAACAGUUAACUUUAAAUAUAAUAAUAAUAAUAAAUGGAGGAAAAUCUACUGCUGCUUUGUCUGUUUUAGGUUUGGAAUCCCGCUGUUUGGAGGCGAGGGAAGAGAUGGGCGCUCUGCGCUUGAGGGCUUCCUUCGCCGUUGCGAGGUUGGCGUUGGGUUCUGCUCAUCCCCUGUCGUCCGAUGCCCAACCCCCUCGCACUCUUUCCCUCCGUGUUGCGGUUCCUUCUGGUUUGGUGCUUCUGAUUGUUGCCUUCUUCCGUUGACUGCUUGCUUCCACGCCAAGAUUGAUUUUUUUCCUUCUUCCUUGGAUCGCUUCGGCUGAAAGAUCGGAUCUUUGGCGGUGACGGCGCUAGCGUUAGUGCCUGUCCCGUUGGUUCUCGGUUAUCCGCCCCAAAGAUCCGAUCUUUUCUCGUAUGUUAUUGUCUUUGUUAGUAGCAAUCUGGGUUUUGGAGCUUUGAAAUGCCCUUCUUUAUGUGUGUCUGUGUUUCUCUUUUUGGGAUCUGAGUUUCGAUCCGUGGGCUGUUUGCAUUUUAUUAGGCUUUUCGUAUUGGAGAUUUAUUUGACUGGGAAAAGAUGAAAUUUUGUGGGUACGGAAGCUUUGCUCGGCGCUUUUAAUUUGCACGUAAGGGGCAGAAUUGUGUAGAUACUGUGGCAGUGAAUGUUGUACAGCAGUUAGUCCAGCAGUGUAUUUUAUUGGGUAAUAGGAAGGAGGAAAUCUUGUCAGAAAAAAAUUCCUCAAUUCAGUUGUAUGUAAUCCAAGCUAGUCUUUUGAAUGGAUAAGCAGGUAUACCAGAAGAGAGUCAAAUCUGGAGGUAGAAUUUUUCAGCGAUUAGCAUGCAAACAAGCCCCAGAAGAUGCUUCUUCUAAUGAUGAUAAAGUUCCUUGCAACACCCCUAGAGGUUAUACGGAGUCAACAUGCGUUUCUUUACGUGAGGGUAUGGCUUCAAGUAGUACUGAUAAUGGAGAUGCCUUCGUGAGUUCAGGGGAGUAUGUGAGGGACCAUGGUUCUCUUUUAAGUUUGCAGCCAUGGAUUUUCAAAACGGGAAGUUAUCAGAGAGAUGAGGAAUUAGUGAAACCAAAUGAUGAUUGUUCUGAGAAAUGUGGGUAUGAAAUGGAUGGUUUCAUGUAUAAUUCUCUUCCAGAGAUCUCUCCACAGAGUGUUAGUCUGGGUUACGCCUGUGGUAGAGGUCAAAGCACUAUUAGAGCCAGGCGCUCUCACCGCAGCUCAAUUAAGCCGCUUUCUUCCACAGAGAACUGCCUAAUCCCUCAACUUUACGAUGCAAAUUUUGAAAUCGAAGAGUUUGUUUUCAGUUCGUUUCCUUCUUCCACCACACCAGGCUUGAGGCCCUUUGUUGUAACAGAUGAGAGCAAGAUAGUUAACAAAUCUAGUUUUGGAUCUACAGGCAUAACUUUUGAUAGUGGAAUGAACAAGGGGAAUAUGAAGAAUGUGACAGGGGUUUCUUCUCUUCCUGAGUUGAGGACACCAAAAAGAAAGAGUAGGGAGACACCACAUGAUAUUGUGGGAUCUUCCAACAGUCGAAGAUCACACAUGAUCUCCCAUCAAAAAGGUAGUAUCAUUACCAUGUUUUCAUUGGUUCUGAUACUAAAGAUGCCUGUAGUGUGAUGGUUGCUGACUUGUAUUUUACUUUGUCUGCUGAAAUAGUCAUUGACCAUAUCCAAUGAAAAAUUAGACUUACUAGGAAGGGAAAAACAGCAUUAAAGAUUUGAAGCAAAAGCAUACAAUCAUAUUUUAUUAAUAUUUCUGUAUAUUGUGUUUUCUCUAGUUUCCUCAGUCCUAUCUUUUGUUUUAACUCUUUGUGGACUGUAUUAUGUACUUGUCAAUAUUUCUUCUCACCGUAUCACUCUGCUGAUAAUUAGUUUGGCUGGUAUACUGGACUCUUUUAUUUUAUUUUCUGCCCAAAUGGAUAUCACUAGUUGAUUCCUUGACUAAUAACAUCACCCUGGUCAAUUUCUUGAUUGAAGCAUAUAAAAAAUGGAAAAUCCAGGUUGGUGUGUUUAAUUUUUAUUCUUGUUCGAUUAACUGUUUCCAUGUUGAGUAUAGAAGUGGAAGUUCUUGUUGCUGUAGUCCAUCUUCCAAUUCCUAGUCACCAAUUAAUUGAUUGUUCAUCUAAUUGAGCAGUAUAUAUCUGUUUUGCAUAGCAAUGUGCUAAGUUGCUUUAUAAUGUUACUGUGUUUCUGAUGUUUUGAGAAUAGUUUCUUUGUUUUGACUUAUAAAUAUUCUUUUCUUUUGUAAUUGGACGAAGGUCAAUUGAUCUGGUGACAUUUUUAUUUGUAGUAUAUUGUCAUAUGUGAUGGACUAUUGUCUAUUAAGAUUGGCAUAUCAUUGUGAUGGGGUGUUUUUCCAUUCUGGAAGGUGGAGAAAUGAUUUCUGUAGCCUUUGAGAUGUCAUAUUAAAUCCUACUUUCGAGUUUCAGUGGGUCUUGGCAUCGAGUUAGGAUGAUAUCAGUAUGGGUUCUGUGUCAUGCCAAGGGUUUGCUGACACACAGGGCAAUUGCAUAUCUACCAUUGGAAAUAGGUGAAAUUCAUUUACGAUCUCUUAAAGCUAUGGCCUACAAGUAUCAUGGUUCUUAUAAUUUCAUAGUCUUGCCAUGCUCAUAUUGUUCAGAAAUUUGUAAGGGCAUUUGUGAAACUUUAGAAGGGUAUCCAUAUAUUUGUAGGGCAUUCAUGGAAGUUUGAAUUGUAACCUUUAGACAAUGACCUAAGCUGUGGGGUAUGUAGAAAUUGCACCAUAAUGUUAACUUGUAUUUAUCAGCAUAAACCUUUCCAAUUGUGUGUGACAGUGAACUUUACUCCUAUGUCGAGAUGGCUGUUUCCUUAGAAUAUAGAGCUCCAAAGGGAGUCCCACAGUAGAUGCAGUGUGCUUCCAUCCCUAGGGUUACUCCUUUCAGGUUAGGUGGAUGGACCUUGCACUUUUCACUUGCUACUAUUAAUCUAUAGAUUUCAAUGCUUCCUCUUGGUUAAAAAUUUUACUUCAAUUUUCUUAUUUCAUCAUGUGAAUUUGUAGUUUUCAUCAAGGAUUUUAAUUUUGAAUGAUACCACCCGUAUCGGGUGGUAUAUACCGGUCCGUCAGCAGACUGUUACACAAAUCGUCCGCUAUCGGGAUAGCGGGCGAUAGCAUCGAUUGGUGACAAAGAAGAAAGAAAGGGAGAAGAAAGAGGUCGGUGACAGAGAAGAAAGAAGAGGGAGAAGAGAAAGAAGAAAACCUGGAGAUUCGGCGCGGCGACGAAGCCUCGGCAAUGUCAUGGGGAGAAGCAAUUUCUUCUCCCCAGCAGAAGAAACCAAGCGAGGCGACGCCUUUCUUUUCUUUUUUUUUUCUUUUCGCGUGGGGAAACUGAGCGACAUCGUCGAGGCGAUGUCGCCUUUCCCUUUUUUUUUUGCGCGCGGAAACCGAGCGACAUCGUCGAUUUUUUUACACUGGGAAACCGAGGCGAUGUUGUCGAGCGCGGGGAAACCGAGUGACGUCGCCGAGCGCAAGGAAAUCGAGUGACGCUGCCUCGGCGAUGUUGCUCCCCUUUCUUUUUUUUUCGCGUGGCUCCUCACGUGGGCAGAGCCAUCGUGUGUGUGUAUAUAUAUAUAUAUAUAUAUAUACCGAAUGGUACAUCAAAAUGUAUUACUCAGUACACUUAUACCAUACCAAACCGAGCUCGAAACUCCGGUACGGUACGAAAUUACAAACCUUGAUUUUCAUAACACGUCCUUGAUGUAUAAAAGAUAUACAUGCAUUAUCAGUAUGUUUCUUUUGUGACUGGUAACACCAAUGUGCUAAGACAGCAACUUACAUUUGUUAUCCAAGUGCUGUGUGAUCUGUAAUUUUUGUCUCAAAACUACUAAUCUAUGAACAUAAUCAAAAUUCAGGAGAUUUCUAGUAGUGAACAACUGAGUAUGCUGGCAUAAUGUGGCAACCAGACUGACAUUUAUCGUCAGUCUUCUUCGUAAUCCUUUUUGCCGCAGAACAAACAUUGUCAUCUAUCAUGGUCGAUGCAUCUCAUGAGAUCUUUUAAUAUAUUAUUCAGUUUUACGAUAGUUUAUUGCUUCUUUCUGUGGCAGUUUUGCUGCGUCAUUGCUGCUACACAUACACAGGUUACACGACAUUUCAUUGAUGUAUUGGCAAUGGCACAGUCUCCACAUGGCCCCUAGGUGUCACCCAUGCAGAGGCAUCAAAUUCAACCUCUUGUGGGGUUCCCCAUGUCACCUAGAAUGCCAUGUGGGUCUUAUACAUUAAUGUAUAUAUAACAUCAUCCUGGCUAAAUUGUUAUCUGAGUUUUAGUUGAUUGUCUCAAAUUCUAAAUAAUUUCGCAAUAUAAUUUGAUUACAGUGUUCAUUCUAAAGCAGCACCGACAUUGUACCCAGGUUUGCAUGAUGGAAUACAUAUCUUCUCUAUUGGAGUCAGCCUUGGAAUCAUAUCCACUGUGCUAUCAAAUAGAAAAGAAAUAGAGAAUUUAAACAACAUGUUGAAGGGUUCGGAGAACUUGAUUCAAGAUUUGCAAGAGGAGUUGGAUAUGAAAGAUGCCGUAACUGUUAAAGAAUUGGCUAAUGAAGCUUGUGGGCACCAAAAACCAGUUGACAGCAUUGCUGAAUCAAUUAAAUCUGCCAUUGAUCAACUUCCAGAAUCCUAUUUUCCUGUAGAGGAAAAAGAUGAAUAUGACCAGCUAAAUUUCUCUAAGGAAGAGUCAAGGAGUAAGAUUGAAGCAGAGCUUGAGAUUGAACUGGAGAAACUGGAACUGACCAUGAACAGGUCAAGUCUGAACGGAACAAUGUUAGCACUUGGUGAGGUAAGGCCAAAAGACCUUUGUUUUUGUUGUUUGUGAAUUGUAAAUAAAAACUAUUUAUUUGAAACAGCUACUUCUUGCUUUUUAUUUAUCAUAUCCUAUAAAGAUUCUUUAGUGGUACCUUUCUAGAAAACAUUUGACAUAGUAUGUUUUCAUGUUCUUGCCAGAACAUUCUAGCAAUCUUCUGAAUCUGAAUUGCAGCAAACACAACCAUUCUGGCUAACUUGGUUCAUUUCUUAUUCAAUGCUUGCAAAACAAUAUUUCCUUCCAAAUCUGUAUAUGUAUAUGAAACCAGCUACAUUGACCAAGGUAGAAUGAGACAUGCUAGAAAUACUAAUAGAAAAAUUUUCACACUUUCUCGUCAUCUUUGAGUUUUCUUCUGAACUUCCUUUACAGCUUUCUGAAAACAAUAAUUGAGUGGAUGACGUGAUAAAUAGUCUUGUGUAUUUCUUUCGUAGUGUUCUACCUAGAUAUUCUGUCUCUCCCUUGUUCAAAUGGCCUUUAUAUAAUGGAUCUGAUCCAUGCUUGCUUUCCUUUUUCCUUUCAUCCAUUGAUCCUUUCUUAUAUCAGGUCCGUGAUAUAACAUAUCAGAAGGCAUCGUAGAAGUUAUUGGCAAACAUUCAAAGUCUUAUCCAUCUAUUCUGCAUUCUUAGUCUCACUUGAACAAAUAAGUGAAUAUCCAUACAGAUGAGAUGAGACUUGUUAAGGAUCAUCCAUCAUACAAUUCUUACAGAUGACAUCUGUAUGGAUAUUUCACUACUUCCAAUGUCCAUGUUCAAGAAAGUAGUACUCGAUUUUUAUAGAUUGGGGCUCAAAACCUGAACCAUCGAUCUGUUUUAUAAAAAGAAGGCUAAUAACCAAAACAUUUUUCCCAUCUUUCUGUUUCACAAACAACUUGACCUGACCUUCUGGCCAUGCUGAAAUUACAGAUUAUAUCUGCUGUGAUCAUCAUUUGGGUCCUAAUUCAGUGGGUAGAUUUCUUUCCUUCCUUGCGGAUCCUUUUAUUUUUUCCCUUUGGUUUCGUAUUCAGGAAUCAAUCCCAAUGUUAUUCAUCUACAGACCUAAACAGCAAGGCUUCUUGAUUUGUAGGCUCACUUACAUCAUGAUUGCUUCAUCUGCUGCAAUAUCCAUCACCUUACAUAGGUGUUUUAUAAGGCAUGAAGAUGGUGCUAAGAUUUAACUUGUUACAAUUCAUGUAUGUCUUUGGUACUAAAUUUUAUUUAUUGAACUCUGAAGUUUUACUUCCAGAUACUGAGAUGUGAUUUUUGGUAAAUUGAUUUUUGAAAUUGGGAAGAACAUUAUAUUUACUUGUAUUUGCACCGUAUGGGAGCCAGAUAUGUCUGACGCCAUUGUACCUGAUGAUGGUGAUAAAUCUAAUCUCCACAAUUUUAUUUCUGUCAAUGGUAUAUUACUUGGGCUUUUGUGUUAUGUUUUCCUAAUAAAUUUCCUUCAAAAUUCUAAACACACAUUUAUGGUCAACAACUUGUUUCUGGGUAGCUUUUGGUCAUGGAAGGAUAAUGCAUGACAUCCUUCGAUGAUAACUUUUGGUCAUGUUUCUGUGUCACUUUAUAUAGAUAUCAUUCUUAUAUACACGCUAAUGUGAUUUAAGAUGCAUUUUAUCAUGAUGCCUCUCUUCUGACAACAGUGACAUGUCCAACCUUUCUCGAAAUGUCUCAUUGCAGCUUGAUCUGGAUGUAGUUGCUGAUGUCGUAUAUGGGGAACUAAAGGCAGAUAUGCUCCCCGGUGGGGUUUCUGAGGACCAGGAUGAUAGUGCAAGUGACAGCGAGAACACUACAAACCAUAUCCACAAUGUCAACCAUGCAGUUUCACCACGAGAGCUUAGCUUACGCCUGCACGAUGUGAUCCAACUCAGGCUAGAAGAAAGAAUCAAAGAGCUAGAGGAUGAGCUUCAGCAAACCAAGAAGCAACUUCAGUCGGCAGAAUCCGAGCGCCUUCCUUCGCAAAGAGCCUUCUCAAGCAGCGACAUGGAAUCUUCCUCCAACCAGGACAGCCCAACGGGUAUUGCCGGAGACACGGCUUUGGCUCAGCCAUUUUGCUUGAACCUUGCUGGAGAUGCUCUAGACACGUACAAUGAAGCUUAUGAAGAGAUCAGACGGACAGCCAACAUGGUGAACAACUUGCCAUCCACGACUAACAUGACUGGUGAACUUGGACAUGGCUUAUAUUCAUCUGAACGGAGUUUUACAUGGGCAAUGGAAGUGCCAAAACGUUGCGGGAGGGAGACUAAGUGGGAGCAAAAUCUGAAGAGCACGGGAUUGAACGAUGAUCAGAUUCUUGAGAUCCAUGCGACGAAUGAAGAUGAAUAUAACGAUGAUGAAGAUGACGAUGAAAUGAAAAUGUUAAUCGAACAAAUUUUAGAGCGAACAAGGCAAGGCUCACCAAUUGUACUACAUGCACAAAGGUAUCUCUUUCCAAAGGACGAUUGAAUCCCCAAGGAUCGUUGUCUAUGAGAUGGAUUUUUGUAUAUUACCUAUAAUGAAAAGUUGAACAUGUUCUGGUUUCUGAGUUUUAGCCUUUUUGAUCUCAUCAGUGUGUCAUUUCCUUUCUCCAAACAUCCUGGAUCUGAUUCAUUCUGAUUCUAUACUUGUUUUGUACAGCUUGUUGAGAUGCACUCUCUUUACAACAAGCCCCAAGUGAGAAAAAUACAAUCUGAGGCACUUUUAGAUCUUGAUAUUGUAUUCAUAUCGAUCGUCGUCAGUUGUUAUCAGUUGGAUCAUUAUCGAUCUGUAUAUUGGUAGGAAGGAGGAAAAAGAAUUGAAGACGGAGAAUCGGAUGUGUCGGAUGAUCUGCAGAUCAGUAAAUACCAUCGAUAUGAUCCAAUCUGAACGACAUUUUGAACUGUGCCAAAACAACUUGAACCUUGCUUCAAGAUUGUUUCAACACCCUUCAGAAAAAAGCAUUGCAAUCUACAAAUCAAAGAAUAAGAAUGGAUGAUCAUGAAAGCCAUGAUGUCAAGUUUUUUCCCCUUCCUUUUACAGGUUAUUCUUUUUGGCUUUCUUGGAUUAAAGAAGAAAUCCAACACAAGCGUGUGAUAGCUUGGUUGGUAGGUGUUUUUUUCUUCCUUGUUUUUGUUUUCUAUUCUUCUUCUUGGUUGGUAAGUGGUUUUUUCUUCCUUGUUUUUGUUUUCUAUUCUUCUCAUGUUUCGAUGUGUCUGACUGCUUUGAAGUCAACUUACCUAUUUAUUGCUCCUCUGUUAACCCAAAAGCGUCUCCUUUGCCUCAUCCGCCUCCGAUGGCUGAAGCAAACCCUAAUUCCAACCCGGGCGUCCUCGAAACGCUGGGCGAGGAGAUCGUCCGCAUCGUUGCCCCCGUCUCCGCCUGCAUGCUCCUCGUUGUCCUCCUCGUCACUGCCCUUUCCUCUUCCUCGGGCGGCGGCCUCGCCUCCAUCGCCACCAUCGCCUAUUCCGAUGACUCCUCCGACUCCUUCUGGGACAAGCUCAAGGGCGCCCUCCUCAGCUCCCUCUCCUUCGUCGUCCUCAUCACCCUCCUCACCUUCCUCCUCGUCCUCCUCUUCUACCUCCGCUGCACUCGAUUCCUCAAGUCCUACAUGGCCUUCUCCUCCUUGGUCGUCCUCGCCUUUCUCGGCGGUGAGGUCUUCCUGCUGCUCAUCUCGCGCUUCUACGUCCCCAUUGACGUCGUCACCUUCUCGCUGCUCUUGUUCAAUUUCGCCGUUGUUGGAGUUCUGGCCGUAUUCUUGGCGAAAGUUCCGAUCAUGGUCAACCAGGGGUAUUUGGUGAUCAUCGGGGUUCUCGUCGCCUACUGGUUCACUCUCCUUCCGGAGUGGACCACCUGGGCGCUUCUGAUUGCCAUGUCUUUGUACGAUUUAGCUGCUGUUCUGUUGCCGGGCGGACCCUUGAGAUUGCUUGUGGAGCUUGCCAUCUCGAGGGACGAGGAGUUACCGGCAUUGGUCUAUGAGGCAAGGCCUGUGGAGCAUCUCCCGGGGGCGGGUACGAGGCUGUGGAGAGAAAGAAGGGAUCUUGCUUCUAAUUCUAGUUCGAACUCAAAUAUUUUGGAAGCUGGAGAUCCUGCAUCGCAGGACACAAGUCUGGUUAUUGCAGAAGAAGGGCCAUCCGUUUCAGCAUUGACGGCACCUUUCCUACAGCAGCAAUUAGAAAGGCAUGGAGAAGUGGAACUUGAAGGAAUUGGGUUGAGUUCAUCAGGUGCAAUCAAGCUGGGGCUUGGAGAUUUUAUAUUUUAUAGUGUGUUGGUAGGGAGAGCAGCACUGUACGAUUUCAUGACAGUGUAUGCUUGUUAUCUUGCAAUCAUGUCUGGGCUGGGUAUCACUUUGUUGCUCUUAGCAUUUUAUCGCAAGGCAUUGCCAGCUCUGCCAGUGUCCAUAGCACUUGGUAUAAUCUUCUAUCUCUUGACGAGGGCUUCAUUGGAAGUGUUUAUGGUCCAAUGUUCGACAAAUCUAUUGAUGUUCUAGCAUGGUGUUUUUCUUCAUUCCAAUGGAAAUUAGAGAUAUGAUCUCUUUACUGCUUUCUGCAGCAUUAUUGUGGAAUGCAAAUGCUCAAGAAUUGUGCCUGAGGCUUUGUAUAAUGGUAAUUUAUAAUGUCACAAAAGAUUUAUUCUCAACUUUGUUCUCUUUUCUCCAGUUCCAUAGAUUUUGCACCAUUUAGUGAAUAUUGUGCUUUGAUAAAAUUGAAAAUGUGAUUUCAAGUGAUGCUUUUUAUGGAACUGGAGUUCAUUCAGUUCUUUUUAGAAUUCUGCUUUCAUUAUAGUUCAUUGUCGCCUUAAUAAAGAGAGACUUACGCAGAUAAGACAGAUAAAUUCACACAACAGGCACAAUAUGAAGAGUGCAAGUUUGUGAAAUGUAUGCAUUUAAAUAGUGAUUGCUAUAUUGGCAUGCAGCAUUUUUCAGAGACAGCAUGAGUUUGCAUCUUGUGGAAGCUUGAGCAAAGUAAGAACUUAUAUGAUGGUACCAGAUUCAGCUCCCUAUUACUCCAAGCAUACUUGCCCCUUACAUUUGCAAAUGUUAAUUUUAUUGCUAUUGUAUUUUAAUGAAAUAGGCUUCACAAAUCCUUUUGAUUUUAAGGUUGUUCUGAAGCUCAUAUGUUUGGUAAAGCUUCUGAUAAUUUGCGUUGUAUAAUUAUUGAAAACAAUUUAUCUUGUCUGUACUUUGCCAGGUUGAGCAUUUCCACAAUAAUCAACUAGAGGUUUUUGUGUCGUCAUUUUACUUUAUCUGAAUUUAGAAUGUUCUUCCAAAGUUACUGCCUUCUCUUUGUUUGUUUCUUCUACUAUAAAGACAACAUUAAACCCUUGAGCUGUGGGCAUCAUCCAAAUGGCAACAAUGAUUAAAGAUUUUAGCUUGACAAGUAUCAUAACAAAUGAAACCUUCAAACCUUCAGGUAGCAUCAACCUAUCAAACUCUGUAGAUUUAACCAGUUUAAAAUUUUUGACAUUGUGGCAAUUAGUGAUAUCUGGAAUAUGACUUAUACGUCGUCUUUGUAAAACGGUUUAACCCUUGCAAUUCUUCAUGAAUCUUAUGAAAGUACCAAACGAUAUUAUGACUCUAACAAAACCUAGGGAAAUAAUGUGUUGUUUUUUCUUUUGUUUUCAUAUAUGCUCGAACAACUUCAAAAUUUCUUAAGGUUGAUUUUUUAAACAAAAUUGAGGCCAAUCUACAUCUGGAAAAAGGUGAUGAUGAUCUUUUUCUUGUGCAUCUUAAUCUGAUCUGUCACUCAACAUUGAAGAUGAUCUUUUUCUCUUGGUGAUUUACAUUAGUGCAAUAAUUCUCAUUUAAUUUUCCACUAUGUCAUUUGCUAUAAAACCAACUUUAUCUAAAAGCUUGCUUGGACAGAGUACUUAACCUUUAUGGACUGAUAAGUUAUCUCGUUACAAACAUUCGUCAAGAAUAUGGAUCAUCAGUGUUUCUUCUCUAAUUAUCUGUGAAACCCUGAAGUUUCCCUGUGCUUAAGGAAUAUACGAGAAAACUUACGAGAGUCCUCAUCACAAUCAGGUAUCUCUUAUCUUUUUUCAUCAAACAGGCUGAGUAAAAGCUUAUUGAUCUGUAUUCUACUUUAAUUUUCAGCUUUCAGUCACCUGGUUAACUAUAUUCAAGAAGCAGUGGAUUACAUGGGCAUUUAAACAGCUGAUUUUCUUGCUAAACUACUGGCAUCAGCUUCCAUUAUUUCAGAUGAUAAUGUUUAUAGGAAUAACAAAAGGUUUUGAUUGUAGCGUGACAUUUUUUGGGCAGCGUUGAUAGGUUUAGCUCAUAUGCAGCUUUGAAGAAGAUUGAACAAUUUCUCUCAAAAUCAUAAUGGGAUUCAACUGGGUUUGCCUCCAUGGCAGUGGUUAUACAAAGGCUUAGAUAAGAUUAGGUGUUCUUUGUACUCCUGCAUUUGCAGUCUAAUCUUACAUUUUUCUUUGUUUUCAAUAGGUUUAAUUUCUCUGUGUCGAGGAUUCAUAGUCACUUCAAAUUCAAGCAUUCAGCUAGUAAGUUCUUGAUGAAGAUGCCAGGCACUCAAGGAAUCAGCUGAUGACUCCGUCAUCUCCAAUUUUAACACUCAAACCAUUCAGAGUGUAUUCUUUCAUCUUGCUAUAUCUGCAAGUUGAUGCUAGCCAAAAUGUAAAAAUGAAGUAGAUUGCUUGGAUGACACCUUGCUUAAUGUGUCAGUAAUAUCAAAGUAUGCUUUUAGUAAUGCAUUUAAACUUCUGAACAUGACUUCUCCAAUUGGAUGUUCUUCUUCUUGAGCUCUCAUGUUGGCUGAACCUUGUAAUAGUACUGUUGAAGGCCUUGUGGUUGCCUAAUACCGGAACAUGUGGAGAUACUGAUAUAUAAAGUUGCCAAAUGAGACACCUCUGGAGCAUCUCUUGUGGAUGAAUGAGCAAGCAAGUGCUGCAGCUCUUGCAGAUUCUACUCAAAGAUGAGGUCAUUUCACUUAUGGAAAGUGAUUAGCUGUAAGAACUAGAUUUAAGAAAUUAACAUGCAGCACAGAAAUGUACUCUUGAUUUUGUUUUCCCUUCACAAAUCUCUGAAAUAUCAGCAUUUCCUUGUUGGUUUCCAGGAGAUAAUGGCUUCAAUAUCUUCAUUGGAUGUGAUAAUGUGAUAACAAAAUGAAACUUGUGAUUCCUUUCUCUCUUGUAGUCAAUCAGAGUUCAGAUUGAGAACCGGAUCAUACACUCUUGAGACUGGUGAAAGUAUCACAAGUCAAUCAAGAAGAUCUCACAUGCAGAUUGUGUUUGAUCUUGGUUAUAACUAUAUCCGUGGAAAUCAUCAUUCUCAGUGUCAUCCUAAAAAAUCAUAAAUGUUCAGAGUCCUCUCAAAGUUCUCAGUCCAGAUUUGAUUCUUAGACAAUUGCUGCUAAUAUACACCAUCAUGUUAGUGUUGGUAUAAAGAUGUAAUAACAACUGUAAUAUACAAAAACUGGUAACAAAUGUCUGUUCUAAUAAACCUAAACCCUACAGACAUUGUGACAUCUUCCUUCCUAAUUCCCUAUUAUGAAAGCACUAUUGGAGAUCAUUAGGUCCUUCUAAGUUAUAUAAGCAUAAUCUUCCUCGAGCAAACUAGUCUGAUGGACAGUGGAAAAAUAGUCAAAUCAAGCAGAUGAUGUAAAAGCACAAUGUAUCCUAUGUUUGCAAAUAUGCCUUGCACCUACCUUUUAAGCAGCAAGGAUGUAGAUAAUAGUAUCAACCAAAUCCAUCUCACAGAAAACUGGUGUGGGAGGAACAGGAAAUGAAAGAAGAUGCUGUAGGAACCUUUAUGAUGUUUGAUGAAAUGAGAAGGCAAUCUGGUAGAAGAUUAGAAUAGGAUGUCAGUUACUAAUAAAACAUUGAAUGAUUUGCCCAAACUCUGAACUAUAGUUGGAUCUCCAAAACCAGGCAUUAGUAAUGAGAUAUCAUUACAAACUAACGGCAGGUUAACACAAUGUGUUGAUGAUAGACACACCUGUCACUUCUACAUGAACGACUCGAAAGACUGAUUGAAUAAACAAAAGAAUUGCUGCAUAAUGAUUCUGUGUCAGUGAUGUAUAACUUGAGAAUUUAUCUCUAUAAAAGUAAUUGAUCUUGUAAAGUUAUGAACCAACAUAUAUUUACAUCUAAAAGGAGAAAAGAAUCAGGAAGAUCCAAAUUCCUAAGAAUGUGAUAAUCUAUACCGUAGGAAUCAGCAAUGAACACUGGAGCACCAGAGGCAUUUUUGUAUACAAGCACUUUGUCAACAAUCUAGAAGACUGAACAGAAAGUGGCGGCAAUUGUGAAACUGUCCGGAUAUCACCUUCUUCGUUGACUCUGCAAAGAUUUUGGGGACCCUUCAAAAAGAUCUAGCAAGUAUUCCUCUAAGUCAUCUGGGGAGUAUUUGAUGUACCUUUCUCGAUGUCUCUCACCAUCCAGAUGGCUAGCAUACCUACCUUCAAAUAUUCGGUACGCUUGUAUCAACUGGGCAGAUACGGAAAUCCUCAGAUCUUCUCGGAGUCCAUCAUUAGGAACAAACCAUGCUGUCUGAGCCUUAUAAACCUCUUCAAAUGCAUGGUUGAAGCCUCUGAACCUGUCCUUAAGAACUGUCAAGGAAGGAAUGCUACAACCUGGCUUGUGAAGCCCCUCUGCCCUCAGGAAAGAGAGAACAGAAGUCCAUGAGGCUCUCUCGUAUUUCUGUUCAUGCACAUGGAACUUCCUGAUGUGCACACGAAUCCAUUCAUCACCAAAGAAGUUUCUGAGGUUAGAAAGUUUAACUUUGUCAACCAUGUAACAGAUGUUGUUCAUCAUAAAAAUAUUUCGCAGAGAAACAUCAUUGUAAAGUUGUGAUUUAUGAUCAAGAUUUGUUUCCAAAAUUGUGGUCAGUGACUUCAGAUGCCAAGACAGAGGGGACUGAUCCAAAGAAGUCUUUCUACCACCAUCUUCUGUAGAUGAAGAUUGGUCGGCACCUUGUUGGUCCUCAAGAAUCAGACCAAGGGUCUCACUGUAAGCGGAAAGCGCUUUGAUGUAGUUCAUGACAUACUUUGUAAGAUGAUGGACUCCGCCUCCUGCAAAUGCGGUGGAUGAUCUAUUUGAUUGAAUAUUAUUUUUGAACUCCUCUAUGGUCCCACUCACAGAUUCCUUCAACCUCAGCAAAACUUCAUCGCAUUCAGUUAGCACGCAAGAUCCAUAGUCUUCUGGGAAGAAAUGCUCCAUGCGCACAAGAAGAUCAUUCAAAACCUCAUAGGUAUUAAGUAUCUGAAAUAGCCUUUCUGGCUUCGGAGGUGCAAUGGCUAUGGCCAUAGCAAUGCCGAGAAGUUGAAGAAUCGAACUCUUUGAGAUCUCGACAAAGCAAGAUUCCCUUGCUGAUCUUGGAAGCUUCCCAAAGACAAGAUUACAGAGGUGUCUUUCCCUGGCAAGAAAGUCCUGAAUGAAUGCACACAUUGCUUGUUUCCAUUUAUUUAUCAGGUGAUUCAAUUGCUUCCACUCCAUUUUGAACACUUCGCUGAUGCUGAAUUUGUCUAUUUGGAGAACUGAGAGGUACUCCUCAAGUGCUUCCUUUCUGACUGCUACAUAGGCCUGACAACAUUCCUUGUCAUAAUUGGAUAGGAACAUUAAAUUUGCAAUGGAGAUGAUAUUAGAAACUAGACCAUGCUGGAUUGAACUGGUAACAUCAUUCUCCGACUCUCUGAUGGUAUCACCAUGAGAUAUGCCCCCAACAGAUUCGUCGUCAAAAGAGCUGCUUGAGAAAUUGUCCACACUGUCAUCUUCUGCAGAAUGAAAUGAUGUGAUGUCAGGCUCCACAGGUUGGCAACAUUGUCUGAGAAGCUCAACCAACUCAUCCUCAAGCAUUUCCAUAGCCAUCUGAAGAAUGCUUUUAGCAAACUUCAGGAGUUCAUAAUGUUUUUCAUCUUUGUUGCUCGAAUACAGUAGUCCGAGUACUUCACCAAGUUCCCGAACUUCAGUCACAUCCUGUAAGCAUAUCAUCGACUUAUCAGCAUCCCAUCUGAGGAUCUUCUUCUCCAAUUCCUUCAACUGCUCUUCAAUGUCACAGAUUCCUACUUCUUCUGCAAUUGUCAAGUUCGAGUACUGGAUACCAAGAUCUGCAAUCAUUUCUGCCAUCUCAUCAGUAAGGUUUACAGUCUCUUCCUGCAUCACAACAUGCCUUCCUUCCACCUGAGCAGCUCCAACAGACACACACCCUGCCAUAGAAUGAUUUUGAUACGAUCCCACUACUUCACCACAAUAACAUGAACACGCAGGGUUACAACAACACAAAAGCCCACCCUUGGGUAACCGGGUGGGUAACCCCCCAAACUUCUCUUCACGCUUCUCUGUAUCAGUGAUGCACAAAACUAAGGUAUUAUUUGCACAAAUCAACAAGAAAGAAUGGCACAACAAACAGAAAAUGAGAAAAUUGCCCAAAUGAUCUACCAAUAGGGGAAAAAGGUAGAAGAACCGGCACAAGAAUUAAUGUCCUUAACAGAUAACUUGGGCAGUGGUCAAAACCAUUGAUACACAAAAAUGGAGGGCAACAAUAUCUUGCUAGUCAAAGGUGCCCUGCAAGCCAAUCACGUGAGUGAUGACACGUGUGACAUGGUAUGCGCUCUUUUUGUUUAUUAUUAUUAUGGUAUUUUCUCACUUUAUAUUAUUUGUUGUAUAUAUAUAUUGUGAUGUCCAUGAAUAUGUGCAAUGAGAAUCGAAUCGUGAUGAGAUCACGAUAAUGAGACCGAUUCACCUUUAAACGCAGGUCCUAAAUAAUCCCAAUCAUAUGUUACUUGAGAUGGACAUCGAGAUAACCGGACAGACUGGUGAACUAUAUAUCCGUCCAUAUAAUGGAGGCGGUUGAUUUCAUAGGUGCUCGUGUGGGACACUAGGGAUACAGUACAUGUGCUUAUAAGAGAAUGAGUUCAUUGAUUGAUCCGCUCACGGAAUGUUAGAUGAUUGAUGAUGCCUCAUUAUCAGACAACGAUUCUGUCGUCCUAGUGGUGUAUCUAGUCCUAAGACUUGAGACACCAAGGAUAUUCUAUAUGAGUACUCCACUCUUUGAUACCAGACUUACAAGUUUGAAAGUUCCAGAUCUAGCAUAGCCGAUCAUCAGGAGUGACAACCAACCUUACGAGGGCUAUUGAGUGUCGAUAGAGGAUCAUCCACUCUCGGUGUCAUGAGAGGAAUAUCUCAUAUGUUCUUGCUUAGACAAAUCCUUGGCCAGGGUCAUUCGGAUUGAGAGUGAAAGAGUUCUCCGGGAGAAUCCUAUUAAAGCGAUACUCGAGUAAAAAUUGUAUGCGCCUAGCAACACCAUGCCCGAUAUACGAUUUUUGGGACAUUAAAUGGAUGAGAAACUAUAUAUACAUAGUAACCGAAGACAGAAAGGUUUGGGGACUGCGGCGUUGUGGCCCAGGGAUUACGACGUAGUAGCCUAGUACGUCCACAGUCGAUGAGUCGAGUGAAUUGUUAUAGAGAUAAUAAUUCACUGAGCCAGAAAGAGUUCUAACAUGUAUGACUCACGGCUAACUUGAUGUUGGGCCUAGAGGGUCACACACAUAUGAUAGGUGUUGCGGUGAGUAGAAAUUCGAAUAUGAGAUAUCUGCUAGAGCCCCUAUCUUAUUGGAUAUCCAAUAAGCCCAUGAAUUAUUGGAACCUAUGGAUGAGAUCUAAUAAAAGUCAAUGAGAGAUUAUUGGAUAGAGAUCCACUAAUCUAAGAAUCUUAGAUAUUUGGAUAAAGAUUCAGUACCUAAUAUGACAUGAUCCAUUAGGGUUAAGUUGACAAGAGACCUCUAUAAAUAGGAGGAAACCAAAGGGUCAGAGACUAUACCUUUUUGACUGUCACCUCCUAUUCUCCUCUCCCUUUCUCCUCCUCAACCAACAACCCUUAUUUGAGGUGUGUGGAGAUUUAGGUAAUGAUUCGAGGAGCAUCUUCGCAGCUCCUAUCCUGUAGAUCACCGCUAGAGAGGAUGAUAAAUGAUCUCUUUCAUCCUCUCUCAUAUAUUUAUAGGAUUUCAGAGACAUACGAUCUCUCUAGGUAAAACAUAUCUCUCGUAUAUGCACGGUUUUCGAUUUUACGGUUUCACGCAUCAAUCUUCGUACAACGAUAAAAUUUUUUAGUAAAAAUCUGGGAUUUUUCAUUUUGUUCUUCUAUUAUGCAUGUGAUGUCGAUCGUAGAGUUCCCUGCAUAUCUAACAGUAUAUAAAGCGCAAAAGAACAAGUCAAAAGCAGGCAAGUCAGAUGACUAGGAAGUUCUCGAGCAAUCAACUAAAGACAGUAUCCAAUCCUAACUGCAACAGACUGUACGCUAGGAAGGAAAUCCUAGUAGCUAAAAUGGACAGAUGAAUAAGGGUUCAAUGAGCUUAGAUCCCCAUUCUUUAUUGUUCUCUUUGAAGUUCGAUCAAAUAUAUGGAAGACUCGGAUAAAAGCCACAAAACUAGUCAUGGAAUUGAAGAUUAGCAAAACAAAAGGAACAAACAAGAGACGGAAACAAACUGCAGAUUUCCCACUCAAAAUCUCACCUUUGGAAUUUCAAAGCGAGAAAACCCGGUCCUGUCUCUCCUCCUUCCUUCCUGAAGCGGAGAUCAGCUCUGACAAGCAGCACCACCAAAACGGCAAGUCAAUCCAACAAGAAGACCGGAAGAGGAAGACACUCGACUUAAAGAUCUUGACUAGAUGAGGAGGAUAGGUCGACGAACGGGAUUGGAAGGGGGGGUGGGGGGAGGGGUCCAAAAAUCCAAGGACUCAAAGACAGAACUUUGUGUCCGAGAAAUCUGAUGGAGAUCUCAGAGAGGAUUUGAGGCAAAUGAAGAAGGUGAACCGAAGUUUCCCAAAGUUCCAAGCGGCUGCGUCUCUCGUCUCUUCUUUCCGUUCUCUUCCCUUAGCCUCUAAUUUUUUCUUCGGCGUGCGCUGCUGUCACGACCUGUCACGACCUCUACAACGAAGUGGCGAAAGAGGACAAAAGAAAAAGAUCAUCACUUGGCCUACUGUAGCUCAGACGUGACCCUAUGUUCUACUUAUUUCUUGACUGGAUAGAGCAAUGGGACCCAUAUCUCUUGGUGACGAAAUGAAAGGUCGGUGUUCAAUGAGUGACGCAGUUGGAGAUAAAAGAAAGGGGCAAAAAGGAAGACGAACGCCAAAAUCCGACCGUCGGAUCGACGGGUCAAAACGCGCUUUCGGUGCCGUUAGCGCGCGGAGAGCCGUUGGAUGCUUGAUGGGCGUUGAUGAGCGCGACAUGGUUGGAUCGUAACGUCCGGUUUGGGGCGUUGGUGGUGGUCGCGAUGCCCGCGGGAACGUUGACUUAGACCUUGACUUACCUCUCUGUCAAAAGGAAUAUCUCCCACACACCCAUUUCUCCGGUACCCACUGGAUUACCUGCCAUGUAAUUGGAGACAGCGACGGUCCCACCGAUUGCGAAGAAAAGGAUUGCCGUAUCACCGUACAGUUCUUUGUCCAGAUUAGAACAUCUCCCUAUUGAAACUUCCGUGUUAUAGCAUAGCAUUAGAACAAAAGCAAUGUAUGAUAUAAAAUCAUUCAAGAAAUAUGUUCUGCGUUUAAUAUCAAAACAUUCAAGAAGAAUUUAGCAGCAUAACUCUUAUUAUCUAAUUUGUUGCUUUUUCUUUCUUACGUCAGCACCUGAUCAUGCUGUUGUCACUGUUUGAUAGGCUGACAUCAGUAGUGAAACAUUCAUGCUAAUAACCCUUUGUGCUUCACUCUCUCUCUCUCUCUCUCUCUCUCUCUCUCUCUCUGCUCAAUGUCUGAACAACUGUAGUCUUGCCUCUCAUAGGUUGCUGUAAUAUUCUAGUUAUAUGAAAGACACAAUAAAUUCAUAAGCAACCCUUAUCCUUAAGUAUAAGGGUGCGAGGGCGCAUCAAAGAGAGAUUUGGAUCAUUUAAGUUGAGGAACAUGUGUAGAGAAAUCUAAAAACGAGACUAACCAACCCUAUCAUUUUCGAUUUAAUACAUUCUUUAUAAGUUAAUUUUAAUUUUAUACUAAAAUUAAUAAAAAAAUAUACUUAUUAAAUCGAUCAUAUUCUUAUAAAUUAAUCUUAAUCUUAUAAAAUAUACUGAUGAUAGCUCAACAUCGUGACGAAUUUUUUGACUCUAAGUAACUCAUAUCAUGACCUAAGUCUAAUAGGUUAAUUAAUUCAUCAAUUUCAUUUGACUUAAACCACCGAUAAAAAUAUUUAAGUUAACAUUAAUAGUAAUAUAUUUAUUAGACUCAUCAUAUCCUUAUAAGUUAAUCUUAUACAUUUUUCAUGUAGAAUUAAUUGUGAAGUUACAAAUAAAGAAUAUAAAAAUUAAAUCUUUUGAGGUAGGGUAACCGAUUGAUCAAUUAUUCUAUAACAUCAAAAGGAGAGUGGUCUUCUGAGUAUUUAGAGAUAAUUAACUGUGAUAUCUAAGGAGAAUUUUAUAUUAAAAAAAUUUAAUUAAUUAAAUUAUUGUAUAUUUUUAAAAAUGAAGAGCAAUGUUAUAUUUUUUAUAUAAUUCAUUGGAUAUAGAAGAGCAAUGUUAACAUUUCUUGAAAAAAAAGGAAAAAAAAAACGAUGGGACACACAGUAUGGGCACUAUUAAAGAGAAAAUAAUGGUGUUGAUAUUGACACUGUAAAGGAGUUCUUGCAAGACCAAACUAGAUAUUUAUUGCUAGAUCAAGAUUUAUGUUGAUGAGAUGUGAUGUAAUUCUAUACCGAUUGUUAAUCGCAUAAUAUAAUCCACCUAUAUCUUUUUCAUCCGUGAUAAACAUAAUUGUUGAAGAUGGAGAACAAAAAUAUUAUAGGUUCAUUUAAAAAUUAAAAUUGACCCAUGAUAUAAAUAUUUGUAAGAAAAUACUUAUAUUAAAAACCCUUCCUUUUAACAUUUAUAUUUAUGUUAUGAUAUCUACACAAACAAGAGAUUAGUGAAAUCUCACCGUCCAUCGUGCUUGAUUAAUCCUAGUGAAAAAUAGUUGAUUAGGUAAUACAAGAAAUAAAUUUGGAAGAGAGGGUGAUCCAAUAAAUAUAUGUUUAUGAAGUCCUGAGACACAUUGGAUACAACUAGAAACACCAUAUUAAAUAGAUUAUAUAUAUAUAUAUAUAUAUAGAUUUGUGGCGAAAUAAUAAUCAUUAGCUUAUUGUACUACACAAAGUAUAAUUCCUGAUGUCAAUUAUAACUAAUUAUUAACAAAACUAUUGCUGAACGUUAUCCUGAAAAUUCAAUUUCAUAAUUUUUUUGAUAAAUAAUAUGCAUCUAAUUAUUAUUAUUAUUAUUAUUUUGGUUGGAUAUUAUUAUUGGGUCCCGCUCACCACUCAGACGGCAACACGGGUUUCCACCGCUCAUAUUUCACCACGUCACGUGAUCAAGCGGGUCGCAUCCGAUCGAUAUAGUGGAAGACGCAGCUUCUUAUCCUAUUCAAAAAUCGAAGCGAGAGAGAGAGAGAGAGAGUAAAAAUCUCGCCUUGUUCUUCGUCAAGCCCUCGUCCUCGUCCUCCUUUUGCCACUCCUUUUUCCAUGUAAGAUUAGCGCUGGGGUUCUGUGCGACCUCGACGGCCUACUUAUCCGCUCUCUAAGGUUUCCGACGUGUUGCCGGCCGGCCAGCGCCGAUGAACCUCCGCCGGAGAAUCCACGCCGGAACCCUCGCCUCUUCCUUCGUCUUCCUGCUCUUGGCCGUGAUCUACUUCCGCGGCUGCGGCGCCGAGCUGGACGCCCGUGGGGCGGAGAGAUCCGCGCUUCUUCAGUUCAAGCGCUCCGUCUCGGCCGACCCCGCCGAGCUACUCCGUGGCUGGAAUAGCUCCGUGGACCACUGCUUCUGGCCCGGCGUCGCCUGCGACGGCCGGUACCGGGUCGUGUCCGUCAACAUCUCCGCGAAAGGCGGAUCCCUUCCGCUCCCCUGCGCUCGAUUUGGCCCGUAUCGGCGGAGCUGCGGUGACCCUGGUCGGAGGCUAGCUGGAAGGCUGAGCGCCGCUGUCGGGAGCCUCUCCGAGCUCAGGGUGCUCUCUUUGCCGUUCCAUGGCUUUGAUGGCGAGAUCCCGGUCGGGAUCUGGGGGUUGGAGAAUCUGCAAGUGCUUGAUCUCGAAGGUAACUCGAUUUCGGGUAGCCUGCCUUCGCGUCUCCCUCGCUGGUUGCGUGUGCUAAAUCUGGCUUCCAAUUCGAUCGAAGGUGAGAUCCGGCCCUCGCUCUCGAGAUGUAUCGACUUAGAAACCCUAGACCUCUCUGGCAACCAGAUCAAUGGAACGAUUCCGAAAUUUCUUGGUGGCUUAUCUAAACUUAGAGAGCUGUAUCUCUCUUUUAAUCGGCUUGGUGGGUCGAUUCCUGAUGAGAUUGGAUACGGGUGCCGGAGUCUCCAGAUACUUGACUUGGCUGGAAAUCUACUGGUCGGAAGCAUUCCGUCCAAUUUAGGCAGCUGCACUGAGCUGCAAGUUCUGUUGCUGUUUUCCAACCUUUUGGAUGGAUAUAUUCCUUCUGAUCUUGGGCGAUUGAACAAGCUGCAAGUUAUGGAUGUGUCAAGGAACAGUCUGAGCGGAACCGUACCUGCGGAGCUAGGGAACUGCUUAGAAUUAUCCGUCAUUGUUCUUCUGAAUCUAUAUGAACCGGUGCUGCAGGAAGCAGCUUCUAAUUCUGUUGAUAUGGAUGAAUUCAAUUAUUUCCAAGGUAGACUUGCUGAAAACAUCACUGCUCUGCCGAAGCUUAGGGUGCUUUGGGCCCCAAGGGCAAUGUUUCAAGGUGAGAUUCCUGGAAAUUGGGGUACCUGUGAGAGCUUAGAAAUGCUUAAUUUGGGCCAGAAUCUUUUCACAGGGCAGAUACCUAAAGUGUUCGGCCAGUGCAAAAAUCUUAGGUUUCUUAAUCUGAGCUCAAACAGCUUGACGGGUUGGCUUGACAAGGAGCUUCCCGUGCCUUGUAUGGACGUCUUUGAUAUCAG